UACGUAGGGGGCAAGCGUUAUCCGGAUUUACUGGGUGUAAAGGGAGCGUAGACGGCGAUACAAGUCUGAAGUGAAAGCCCGGGGCUCAACCCCGGGACUGCUUUGGAAACUGUGUUGCUGGAGUGCUGGAGAGGCAAGCGGAAUUCCUAGUGUAGCGGUGAAAUGCGUAGAUAUUAGGAAGAACACCAGUGGCGAAGGCGGCUUGCUGGACAGUAACUGACGUUGAGGCUCGAAAGCGUGGGGAGCAAACAGG
This 253-nucleotide ribosomal RNA is filed under the name uncultured bacterium. RNAcentral's name for it is "partial 16S ribosomal RNA". It matches the Rfam family "Bacterial small subunit ribosomal RNA", at positions 524 to 776 of the family's 1533-position model. The record is from RNAcentral.